UUUUGUCAGUGGACCUUUUCGUCUCGUUAACCCUUGAAGUAAGCAGAAGGUUUACGGAUGCCUUAAUAAUUGAGUUCUUGUUCCUUGGACUUAUUCUUUUCAUUCAGUUGCUGCACGUUGGAUAUCAGGUUGUUCAAAUUUCUUCUUGAUUAAGCAGAUGAUCACAUUCGAAAUGACAGUUUGUGAUGAUUUUCAAAGUUGUGCCUAAUGAUAGGAGAUGACAUGUUGUGACACGGGAAAUCCUUUAUGAAGCUUCCCUAUAUUCUUUCCAAUUAUAGUGAAAGUGAUGUGCAAGGCUGAGAAGUGCUGGUUUAGCUCUUGUGAGGAAAAACAUUGCGAUGUGAAUAAGUGAAAGUGUUGUUCUAAUUGCGUGAGCGUGAUUUCAGUUAUGUCUGCAGCGCUAAACGAAAAGACUUUGCACACAUACAAAAAAAGGAACUUAUUAAUACAAACCCGCUCAGUUGCAAAGUACUUUCAAAUUAUCACCGAGGCAGAAUUAAUAAGUUGGUAUCGCUGUCUCCAUGUUCAGACUUUCAGAUAAUUGCAGGAGGGAAGAAUGCAUUUUCAAGUGUUAGAGGUCGUGUUUGAGUACGAAGACAAUUUUCGAUGAAAGCUGGAAAUUUUAUUGCUCUUCAGCGAACAAGUUGAGAUGGAACGAAGUCAGAGGACGUAGUAAACCCUUCAAGUGGAUUAUUAAAAUGGAUAUGGUUCAGAUGAUAGUCGAAAGGUUGCUCCCUUUUCAGCAUCAAUAUGGGGGCAGAUGGAGAAUUUCAUCGUUACUUCACCAAGUUGCCUAAUAAUUAAUAUGUUGGGAAUUAAAGCAAAGAAAUGGAAGGAAAACAUGUGACAUUGGAUUCAGGGAAUGGAGAGAUUUCAAUCGAAAAAUAUUUUUUUUUUUAUUUUUUUAAUAAUAUAAUUUAAACGUACUUUUUUAUAAUAUAUUGCAAAUAUACUAUCAAAAUCACAGAUUUAAAUUCAAAGUAUUUAUGAAGUUAUAGUGCAAAGAAUGGAGCUCGACGCAGUUGGUAUAGAAUCGGCCAAAUAGCCGGUACCAGCCGCUUCAAUCGUUGCUGGAUCCUAUAUUGUUAUACUCAGCUGAUUUAGAUCUAUGCGCUAUGCAAAAAUAUGGACUGUUAGAAAGUAAGAAUUUCACACAGUAUAAGAGACAGAAAUUGGAAACAUUAAGUAUUGUUAUGAAAAAUCAAUUGUCAAAAUUUUAAAGGCGUUUUACUUGAAACUACAUUUUCGGGGAAGUACUCGCAAAAAACCACCACCACCAACUUAUUUAUUUGAAAUUUGAAACUCCAAUUUACAUGGCCAUGCCGGCAUUUGGGAUUUAAAAUAUAUACUUUUUUUCAACAAUUUAACAUAAAAAACGCGAUUUUGAAUGUCACA
Molecule: long non-coding RNA, 1395 nt
Organism: Hermetia illucens (black soldier fly)
Lineage: Eukaryota; Metazoa; Arthropoda; Insecta; Diptera; Stratiomyidae
Exons: 3
Source: RefSeq, a predicted model, not a curated record